GUGCACCAGUCGCGAAACUUUACAAUGUGCGAAAGCACGAUAAGGGAACUCUGAGUGCCUCCUAAGGAGGCUGUUCAGGUGUCUAAAAAGCACCUGGAGUAAGGGCUGGGUAAGACCGGUGCCAGCCGCCGCGGUAACACCGGCAGCCCAGGUGGUAGCCACUUUUAUUGGGUCUAAAGCGUCCGUAGCCGGUUGAGUAAGUUCCUUGGGAAAUUUGGCUGCUCAACAGUCAAGCUUCCAGGGAAUACUGCUCGACUUGGGACUGGGAGAGGUCAGAGGUACUCCAGGGGUAGGGGUGAAAUCCAUUAAUCCCUGGGGGACCACCGGUAGCGAAGGCGUCUGACCAGACCAGGUCCGACGGUGAGGGACGAAGGCUAGGGGCGCGAACCGGAUUAGAUA
RNAcentral lists this ribosomal RNA (399 nucleotides) under uncultured microorganism. RNAcentral's name for it is "bacterial SSU rRNA". It matches the Rfam family "Archaeal small subunit ribosomal RNA", at positions 330 to 735 of the family's 1478-position model. The record is from RNAcentral.